AGUGAGAUAACUGGGCCAUAUGGUGGUUCCAUUCCCAGUUUUCUGAGGAAUCUCCACACUGCUUUCCAGAGUGGUUGCACCAAUGUGCAGUCCCACCAGCAAU
Molecule: microRNA precursor, 103 nt
Filed under: Marmota monax (woodchuck)
Lineage: Eukaryota; Metazoa; Chordata; Mammalia; Rodentia; Sciuridae
Source: RNAcentral